AGAGUUUGAUCAUGGCUCAGAGUGAACGCUGGCGGCAGGCCUAACACAUGCAAGUCGAACGGUAGCACAGAGGAGCUUGCUCCUUGGGUGACGAGUGGCGGACGGGUGAGGAAUACAUCGGAAUCUACCCUGUCGUGGGGGAUAACGUAGGGAAACUUACGCUAAUACCGCAUACGAACUGAGGUUGAAAGCGGCGGACCGCAAGGCGUCGCGCGAUUGGAUGAGCCGAUGUCCGAUUAGCUAGUUGGUAAGGUAAAGGCUUACCAAGGCGACGAUCGGUAGCUGGUCUGAGAGGAUGAUCAGCCACACUGGAACUGAGACACGGUCCAGACUCCUACGGGAGGCAGCAGUGGGGAAUAUUGGACAAUGGGCGCAAGCCUGAUCCAGCCAUGCCGCGUGUGUGAAGAAGGCCUUCGGGUUGUAAAGCACUUUUGUUGGGAAAGAAAAGCAUUCGGUUAAUACCCGGGUGUUCUGACGGUACCCAAAGAAUAAGCACCGGCUAACUUCGUGCCAGCAGCCGCGGUAAUACGAAGGGUGCAAGCGUUACUCGGAAUUACUGGGCGUAAAGCGUGCGUAGGUGGUUUGUUAAGUCAGAUGUGAAAGCCCCGGGCUCAACCUGGGAAUUGCAUUUGAUACUGGCAGACUAGAGUGCGGUA
This 656-nucleotide ribosomal RNA is filed under the name uncultured bacterium. RNAcentral describes it as "bacterial SSU rRNA". It matches the Rfam family "Bacterial small subunit ribosomal RNA", at positions 8 to 653 of the family's 1533-position model. The record is from RNAcentral.